UCAUUUUCCAACAACCAGAUAAGUGUUCUCUGUCAAGUAAUAGAAAACAGACAGCAAAUGCAAAUUACCUUCAUACAUGCUCCUAAUGCAUUCCGAGAAAGAAUACUACUAUGGGAGGAACUUUAUAUAGCAAGUACCCACCACCACUUACCAUGGCUAUGCUUGGGAGACUUCAAUGAAGUCUUGUAUCAUUGGGAAAAAGUGGGCGGCAAACGAGCGGAAAACUAUCGGUUGACAGCCUUUAGGGAUUUUCUUGAGAAAUGCUCAUUAAUGGAUUUGGAAUCCAAAGGCUGCGCUUUCACCUGGACCAACAACCGAACAGGAGAUCAAUUUGUUAAGGAGAGACUAGACAGGGGAUUAUGCAAUCUCGAGUGGAGAUUAUCCUAUCCUAAUGCAGAAAGCUUUGCACUACCAGCUGUAGGGUCUGAUCACAGCCUUAUUCUAAUUCGUUUACAGACGAGGAGAACAAAGAAGAGGAGGAUUUUUCGCUAUGAAGCAUUCUGGGCUGAAGAUGAAGAAAGCGGACAGAUAGUUAGGAAGGGCUGGGCUGAAGGGGAAUCUCAAGGGCUGAACUUGGCUCAAAAACUGCAGAAGGUGGCAAAACAAUUGGCACAGUGGAGUAAAAAUAGAUUUCAGAAUGCCAAACGGAGAAUAGAUGAGCUGAAAAGUGAAUUACAAAGCCUUACAAAUGCAACUGAAGUUUAUAAAGAAUGUGAGGUAGCAAAGAAUAUAAAUCAGGAGAUUGAAAAGCUAUGGUGGCAAGAGGAGUUGUACUGGGGGAUGCGUUCAAGAAUAAGCUGGUUGAAAUGGGGAGACAGAAAUACAAAAUUUUUCCAUGCAACAACCAUUCAAAGAAGAAACAGAAACAGAAUUACCUUACUCAAGGAUGCCAACGGUGAGUGGGUGAAGGAGGAUCUACCUUUAAAAGAAAUGACAGAAACUUUCUUCAAGAACCUUUAUUUGUCAA
This 967-nucleotide long non-coding RNA is filed under the name Eucalyptus grandis. RNAcentral's name for it is "long non-coding RNA (EGRA_LNC002191)". The record is from RNAcentral. Lineage: Eukaryota; Viridiplantae; Streptophyta; Magnoliopsida; Myrtales; Myrtaceae.